Molecule: ribosomal RNA, 230 nt
Filed under: uncultured Flavobacterium sp.
Lineage: Bacteria; Pseudomonadati; Bacteroidota; Flavobacteriia; Flavobacteriales; Flavobacteriaceae
Description: partial 16S ribosomal RNA
Rfam family: Bacterial small subunit ribosomal RNA
Source: RNAcentral
CUCGGAGUUUGUAUCCUGGCUCAGGAUGAACGCUAGCGGCAGGCCUAACACAUGCAAGUCGAGGGGUAGAGUUCUUCGGAACUUGAGACCGGCGCACGGGUGCGUAACGCGUAUGCAAUCUACCUUAUACAGGGGAAUAGCCCAGAGAAAUUUGGAUUAAUGCCCCAUAGUGUUAUAGAAUCGCAUGGUUUUUAUAACUAAAGUUCCAACGGUAUAAGAUGAGCAUGCGU